Molecule: ribosomal RNA, 450 nt
Filed under: uncultured bacterium
Lineage: Bacteria
Description: partial 16S ribosomal RNA
Rfam family: Bacterial small subunit ribosomal RNA
Source: RNAcentral
GUGAGGAAUUUUGCGCAAUGGCCGCAAGGCUGACGCAGCAACGCCGCGUGGGUGAUGAAGGCCUUCGGGUCGUAAAGCCCUGUCAGGUGGGAAGAAAGGCUUGGAGAAGCAACGCUUUGAGUUUGACGGUACCACCAGAGGAAGCACCGGCUAACUCCGUGCCAGCAGCCGCGGUAAUACGGAGGGUGCGAGCGUUAUUCGGAAUUACUGGGCGUAAAGCGCGUGUAGGCGUGGGGACAAGUCUGAUGUUAAAGCCCUGGGCUUAACCUGGGAAGUGGAUUGGAAACUGGUUUUCUUGAGUACUGGAGAGGAAGGGGGAAUUCCCGGUGUAGAGGUGAAAUUCGUAGAGAUCGGGAGGAAUACCAGUGGCGUAGGCGCCCUUCUGGACGGUAACUGACGCUGAGACGCGAAAGCGUGGGGAGCAAACAGGAUUAGAUACCCCAGUAGUCC